This 73-nucleotide transfer RNA is filed under the name Amazona aestiva (blue-fronted amazon). It matches the Rfam family "tRNA". From Rfam's summary of the family: Transfer RNA (tRNA) molecules are approximately 80 nucleotides in length. Their secondary structure includes four short double-helical elements and three loops (D, anti-codon, and T loops). Lineage: Eukaryota; Metazoa; Chordata; Aves; Psittaciformes; Psittacidae. The record is from Rfam by way of RNAcentral.
GCCCAGCUAGCCCAGUUGCAAGAGCAUGAGACUCUUAAUCUCAGGGUCGUGGGUUUGGGCCUCAUAUUGGGUG